This 2682-nucleotide ribosomal RNA is filed under the name Triticum aestivum (bread wheat). Its description in RNAcentral is "partial small subunit ribosomal RNA". Lineage: Eukaryota; Viridiplantae; Streptophyta; Magnoliopsida; Poales; Poaceae. The record is from RNAcentral.
AUGGACGCCACCGAGGAGGCCUGCGUGAGAUACACUAAUCUAUACUGGCUAGAUCUUGUGAGCUCCAAAUCGGCGCGUGGCAACGAGGAGAGGAUCUUCGAGCGUGGCCUGGUGGUCCCGCUUAAAGCGGCCGACGCCGACUCGUUCAUGACGCUCGGCAUCAACGGCGCACUGGUGAGCAUGAAGGGCCGUGACAUGACAAUCGUCGACAGGAGCUGCACGUACGUCGGCCAGAUGGUCGUGUCGGGGUCGGACGUCGGCGGCCAGAUGGGCGUCGUCGUCGGCGUCUCCACGACGCUUGAUCUCGUCCAGCUCAACGUCCACGGCGAAGCAACAAAGACCAUCCGUGGCGUGCGGCCGUCUGGCCUCCGGCGCGUUAGGGCUCUCAGCCUCGGCGACUACGUCGUGUCCGGGCAGUGGCUGGGCCGGGUGGUCCAGGUGUUCCUGGACGUCGACGUGGUGUUCGACGACGGUGCCGUCUGCAAGGUCACCGAUGCGGAACCCAAGAAGCUACGAGCGGCCAACACGGUGGCUACUUUCCGCCCGCAGAUGAACUGCGCCUUCUACUCCGGUGAGCAAGUCACCGGUGACCGUGGCGACCCCUCGGCCGUCUUCAGAGAGUCGCAAUGGCUAGAUGGCAGCUGGAAGCCGGAGCACGAAGUGGGCUCGGUCUCCAGGGUGGAGAUGGUCGGCGUCCUUGUCUACUGGGUCGCGUCGGCGCACGGCGGCACCGACGAGCAAGUCCUCGAGAUGUCUGCUCCUUCGGCCUACCAAAAUCCCAACGACCUGACUUUCUUCUGCUCCUCGUCCGAUUGCACCUGGGGGCUGGGCGACCGCUGCUUUCUCAUUACAAAAACCGAUGACGAUACUUCCGAUCAUCACCACCAGGACGAGUCAUUGCAUGCACUACCCACCAUGACCGUCUCCAGCACUCAUACCAUCGUCGACGUGCUGUGGCAGGACGGCACACGGCAGCAUAGGGCACCGUCGAUCUCACUCAACCCCUCCGAGUGCACGAAUGAGCACGAGUUUUUUCCUGGGCAGUACGUGGUUGACAACGCCCCUGUCGAUGUCACAUUUGCUGUAGUUGGAGAUGACGACGUCGUGAGUGCCACAGACGAUGCAUCGACGCGGCGCGUCGGGGUCGUGAGGAGCCUGAAUUCCAAUGAUCACACGGUGCAGGUGUCGUGGAUCAAGGCUAACAAUGAGGCCGGCAACCUAAGCUUGGAGGUCGAGUGCGAUAGCACUACUGCAAGUGCAUAUGAUCUGAGCAGGGAUCCUGAUCACUCCGUUUUCUAUGGGGACAUCGUCGUUCGUCUGCUAUCAAGCGUCGCUGGAAGUAGACCAGCAGUGGUAGUGCAGCAACCACAGGCCCCCGCCGAUCUUUCAUGGGUUGGACAAGUUGUUAACCUCUGUGUCGACGGCCACGUCCAAGUCAAGUGGGGUGAUGGCACCACGUCAAUGGUAUUACCCCAUGAGAUCAGUGUUGUCAACAAGGAUAACUACACUCAACUGCAGGCUGAGAUGGACAACUGGGCGGAGGAGGACGCCAUCGUCGAUGAUCCUCAAGAAUUGGGUGCUGCCAACGUGCACAAUGAUCCAACAGAUACUACAAGUGUCGAAGGCGAUGACGGUUCUGUGGAUGAACUAGAUGGCCAUGCAGCCGUGAUCAUGCAGAAUUUGGCGCAGGCAUCUGCGCGUAGCCACGAAGACCCUAGCGUUGGUGGCGCUGCGACAGAGUACAACAUUGCUGAUCUCGCAGCAAGAAGUGAUGCCAGUGUCGAUGCUAGUAACAGCGACACUGUGGAGGAUGUGGUGAAGGUCACAGAUGCCACUGGUGAUGACGAUCAUCGUCCAUUUAACUUGCCACAUUUCGAUGUAGUGCAGAGCCCUCCGGACGAUCACCAUUACCUUGACACCACGGACCAGGGCAGCACCGGCAAAAAGAGAUGGGUCAAGACGGUGCAAAAAGAGUGGAAAAUAUUGGAGAAUAGCUUACCAGAUGGUAUCUACGUUCGGGCAUUCGAGGGACGCAUGGACCUACUCCGGGUGGUAAUGGUGGGUGCGAGCGGGACACCGUACCAGGACGGGCUCUUCUUCUUCGACAUGCAGCUGCCGCCGUCCUACCCGGCCGUGCCGCCGCAGGUCUACUACCACUCGUUCGGCCUACACCUCAAUCCAAACCUCUAUCCCAGCGGUACGGUGUGCCUCAGCCUGCUCAACACCUUCGACGGAGAGGGCACGGAGGUCUGGUCACCGGGGACGUCAAGCCUGCUCCAGGUCGUCGUCUCCCUUCAAGCGCUUGUCCUCAACGACCAACCCUACUAUAACGAGGCCAGCCUUGAGGCGCUCAUCGAUACGCCGGAGGGCCACCGCAACGCGUUGCCCUACUGCGAGAACGCCUUCCUGCUCAGCUCGCGGACCAUGCUACACCUGGUGCGCCGACCGCCCCAGGGGUUCGAGGGGUUCGUGAAGGACCACUUCCGCCGGCGGGGGAGGUACGUGCUCAGGAUGUGUGAGGCAUACCUGAAAGGAUGUGUGCCUGUUGAAGAGGGGGGCAUGGAACUACCCUGCUCGGCCGGCUUCAACAUCGCGCUUGCCAACGUGGUGCCAAGGCUCAUGGCUGCCUUCACAAAAGUUGGCGACGAAGGGUCUGACCUCUCCAGCACAACCACCCAAUAG